RNAcentral lists this ribosomal RNA (505 nucleotides) under uncultured bacterium. Its description in RNAcentral is "partial 16S ribosomal RNA". It matches the Rfam family "Bacterial small subunit ribosomal RNA", at positions 28 to 507 of the family's 1533-position model. The record is from RNAcentral.
GACGAACGCUGGCGGCGUGCCUAAUACAUGCAAGUAGAACGCACAGUUUAUACGGUAGCUUGCUGCAUCAUUAACUGUGAGUUGCGAUCGGGUGCAUAAAGCGUCGGUAACUUGCCUGGUAUCGGGGGAUCAGUAAUGGUGACGUUAGCUAAUCCCGCAUAAUAUUAAUUAUUGCAUGCUAUUUAAUAGAAAGGUGCAAUUGUACCACUACCAGCUGGUACUGCGUUGUAUUAGCUAGUAGGUGAGGUAACGGCUCACCUAUGCGACGGUACAUAGCCGACCUGGGAGGGUGGUCGGCCACACUGGGAAUGGGGCACGGCCCAGACGCCUACGGGAGGCAGCAGUAGCGAAUCUGCGGCAAUGGACGAAAGUCUGACCGAGCAACGACCCGGGGGUUAAGAAGGUUUUCCGAUCGGAAAGAUCUGUUGUAAGGGAAGAACGGGUGUGAGAGUGGAAAGUUCACAAAGUGACGGUACCUUACCAGAAAGGGACGGCUAACUACGUG